RNAcentral lists this ribosomal RNA (495 nucleotides) under uncultured bacterium. RNAcentral's name for it is "partial 16S ribosomal RNA". It matches the Rfam family "Bacterial small subunit ribosomal RNA", at positions 28 to 507 of the family's 1533-position model. The record is from RNAcentral.
GACGAACGCUGGCGGCGUGCCUAAUACAUGCAAGUAGAACGCUGAAGGAGGAGCUUGCUUCUCUGGAUGAGUUGCGAACGGGUGAGUAACGCGUAGGUAACCUGCCUGGUAGCGGGGGAUAACUAUUGGAAACGAUAGCUAAUACCGCAUGAGAGUAGAUGUUGCAUGACAUUUGCUUAAAAGGUGCAAUUGCAUCACUACCAGAUGGACCUGCGUUGUAUUAGCUAGUUGGUGGGGUAACGGCUCACCAAGGCGACGAUACAUAGCCGACCUGAGAGGGGGAUCGGCCACACUGGGACUGAGACACGGCCCAGACUCCUACGGGAGGCAGCAGUAGGGAAUCUUCGGCAAUGGACGGAAGUCUGACCGAGCAACGCCGCGUGAGUGAAGAAGGUUUUCGGAUCGUAAAGCUCUGUUGUAAGAGAAGAACGAGUGUGAGAGUGGAAAGUUCACACUGUGACGGUAUCUUACCAGAAAGGGACGGCUAACUACGUG